RNAcentral lists this ribosomal RNA (406 nucleotides) under uncultured bacterium. RNAcentral describes it as "partial 16S ribosomal RNA". It matches the Rfam family "Bacterial small subunit ribosomal RNA", at positions 30 to 526 of the family's 1533-position model. The record is from RNAcentral.
AUUGAACGCUGGCGGCAGGCCUAACACAUGCAAGUCGAGCGAGUGGCGGACGGGUGAGUAAUGUAUAGGGAUCUGCCUGAUGGCGGGGGAAAACUACUGGAAACGGUAGCUAAUACCGCAUACCAUCAGUUGAAGCCAUCUGGGAUUAGCUAGUGGGUAAGGUAACGGCUUACCUAGGCGACGAUCCCUCGCUGGUCUGAGAGGAUGAUCAGCAACAUUGGGACUGAGACACGGCCAAGACUCCUCCGGGAGGCAGCAGUGGGGAAUAUUGCACAAUGGGCGAAAGCCGGAUGCAGCAAGGCCGCGUGUAUGAAGAAGGCCUUCGGGUUGUAAAGUACUUUCAGUCGGGAGGCGUUACCGACAGAAGAAGCACCGGCUAACUCCGUGCCAGCAGCCGCGGUAAUUC